This 429-nucleotide ribosomal RNA is filed under the name Actinomycetes bacterium. Its description in RNAcentral is "Actinobacteria bacterium partial 16S ribosomal RNA". It matches the Rfam family "Bacterial small subunit ribosomal RNA", at positions 355 to 776 of the family's 1533-position model. The record is from RNAcentral. Lineage: Bacteria; Bacillati; Actinomycetota; Actinomycetes.
UAGGGAAUCUUCCGCAAUGGGCGAAAGCCUGACGGAGCAACGCCGCGUGAGUGAUGAAGGUCUUCGGAUCGUAAAACUCUGUUAUUAGGGAAGAACAAAUGUGUAAGUAACUAUGCACGUCUUGACGGUACCUAAUCAGAAAGCCACGGCUAACUACGUGCCAGCAGCCGCGGUAAUACGUAGGUGGCAAGCGUUAUCCGGAAUUAUUGGGCGUAAAGCGCGCGUAGGCGGUUUUUUAAGUCUGAUGUGAAAGCCCACGGCUCAACCGUGGAGGGUCAUUGGAAACUGGAAAACUUGAGUGCAGGAGAGGAAAGUGGAAUUCCAUGUGUAGCGGUGAAAUGCGCAGAGAUAUGGAGGAACACCAGUGGCGAAGGCGACUUUCUGGUCUGUAACUGACGCUGAUGUGCGAAAGCGUGGGGAUCAAACAGG